GGAAGGGUGGCAGAGUGGCCGAAUGCGUCUGUCUCGAAAACAGAUUCACGGGCAACCGUGACGGGGGUUCGAAUCCCUCCUCUUCCG
Molecule: transfer RNA, 87 nt
Filed under: Chlamydiales bacterium
Lineage: Bacteria; Pseudomonadati; Chlamydiota; Chlamydiia; Chlamydiales
Also listed under: 1 other name
Description: tRNA-Ser
Rfam family: tRNA
About the family: Transfer RNA (tRNA) molecules are approximately 80 nucleotides in length.
Source: RNAcentral